Molecule: ribosomal RNA, 253 nt
Filed under: uncultured bacterium
Lineage: Bacteria
Description: partial 16S ribosomal RNA
Rfam family: Bacterial small subunit ribosomal RNA
Source: RNAcentral
GACAGAGGUGCCAAGCGUUAGGCGGAAUCACUGGGCUUAAAGCGUGUGUAGGCGGAAUUGUAAGUACCUUGUGAAAUCCCCGGGCUCAACCCGGGAACUGCGUCCGAUACUGGGAGGCUUGAAUCCGGGAGAGGGUUGUGGAAUUCCGGGUGUAGUGGUGAAAUGCGUAGAGAUCCGGAGGAACACCAGAGGCGAAGGCGGCAACCUGGCUCGUAACUGACGCUCAUACACGACAGCAUGGGGAGCGAACGGG